UAACAUUGGUGCUCUCGCUGAGAGGUUUCUUCCAUUUUUCAUGGGAAAACAAAUAACUCAACAAUCUGAAAAUACAUUUCCAAUAUACAAUAGGAAAGAUGGUUAUGGAUGGACACCUGAGGAGCAGAGAUUCAUAGAGGUGGAAAGAGGUUUGAAAGGGAAAGCUCUAAAAUGGUUUCAGUUAUGGAAGGCGCUCAAUCCAUUUGCCAAUUUGGAAACAUUCGAAAUUGCUGCUGGAAAAUUGAGUGGGAAGAGAUUAAAGCUAGACUAAGGCAACAACGGCAACCAAAUCUCAGCUAUCAACAGAACAAGACUCGCAGCAACAUCAACAGAAAUUCAAGAAAAAAGAGAGGCCAAAAUCGAUGCAAAUUCAGAUUCAACAAGCAAUUUAGCAAGCAAUUACAAACAAAGCCAGCAAAACCAGCAACUACAAAUCAAAGCCAUUAGCAAAUUUGAACAAAAAAAUUAGGAGCCAUCAGCAAAACCAGCAAUUAGAAAACAAAGUCAGCAAUUACAAAACACUAAACCUUCACCCAGCAAUUACAAACAAAGCUAGCAAAACUAACAUAACCAGCAACUACAAAUCAAAGCAAAACCAGCAACUACAACACAAUGAAAAAUAGAUAUGAAAUUAAAAAGAGCCCCACAACACAAUGAACAAUAACAAGUUAGGAGCCAUCAGCAAUUAAAAACAGGACCCACAACACAAUGAUUAACCAUGUUCUUAACCUAAAGCAGG
This 739-nucleotide long non-coding RNA is filed under the name Arachis ipaensis. Its description in RNAcentral is "long non-coding RNA (AIPA_LNC000735)". Lineage: Eukaryota; Viridiplantae; Streptophyta; Magnoliopsida; Fabales; Fabaceae. The record is from RNAcentral.